AAUCAACGCUGGCGGCGUGCCUAACACAUGCAAGUCGAACGAGAAAGUGGAGCAAUCCAUGAGUACAGUGGCGCACGGGUGAGUAACACGUGACUAACCUGCCUUCGAGUGGGGAAUAACCUCGGGAAACCGGGGCUAAUACCGCAUAACAUUAUCGGGUGAAAUUCCUGCUGAUCAAAAGUUUUUUGCUUGAAGAGGGGGUCGCGGCUGAUUAGCUAGUUGGUGGGGUAACGGCCCACCAAGGCAGUGAUCAGUAGCCGGCCUGAGAGGGCGCACGGCCACACUGGGACUGAAACACGGUCCAGACUCCUACGGGAGGCAGCAGUGGGGAAUUUUGCGCAAUGGGGGAAACCCUGACGCAGCGACGCCGCGUGGAGGAUGAAGUCCCUUGGGACGUAAACUCCUUUCGAUCGGGAAGAAUAAUGACGGUACCGGAAGAAGAAGCCCCGGCUAACUUCGUGCCAGCCGCCGCGGUAA
This 477-nucleotide ribosomal RNA is filed under the name uncultured bacterium. RNAcentral's name for it is "partial 16S ribosomal RNA". It matches the Rfam family "Bacterial small subunit ribosomal RNA", at positions 32 to 523 of the family's 1533-position model. The record is from RNAcentral.